CCUACGGGAGGCUGCAGUGAGGAAUAUUGGUCAAUGUCCGGAAGGCUGAACCAGCCAUGCCGCGUGCGGGUUGAAGGUCUUCGGAUCGUAAACCUCUGUCAGCAGGGAAGAACGUUCACUGUGCUAAUCAGCCGUGAAUUGACGGUACCUGACUAAGAAGCCCCGGCUAACUACGUGCCAGCAGCCGCGGUAAUACGUAGGGGGCGAGCGUUAUCCUGAUUUACUGGGUGUAAAGGGAGCGUAGACGGUUCUGCAAGUCUGAAGUGAAAGCCCGUGGCUUAACCGCGGAACGGCUUUGGAAACUGUGGAACUGGAGUGCUGUAGAGGCAAGCGGAAUUCCUAGUGUAGCGGUGAAAUGCGUAGAUAUUAGGAGGAACACCAAUGGCGAAGGCGGCUUGCUGGACAGUAACUGACGUUGAGGCUCGAAAGCGUGGGGAGCAAACAGGAUUAGAUACCCGGGUAGUC
RNAcentral lists this ribosomal RNA (465 nucleotides) under uncultured bacterium. Its description in RNAcentral is "partial 16S ribosomal RNA". It matches the Rfam family "Bacterial small subunit ribosomal RNA", at positions 338 to 795 of the family's 1533-position model. The record is from RNAcentral.